AUAAAAAGUACCGACAGAUUACUCUGUACAAAGAAAAUGGAGAAAAGAAGAAGAAAGAGCCAAUGAAAGAAAAUUCACAUAAGGGCUUGGUGAUGCUGCUGUUUUCUUGAAACAUGGCAUCAAUCAAUGAAAUUUUCGGAUUACCCAUAUUGCCCUCCUUCAAAACGGAACAGAAGCUGCUCUGUACUCUCUCAAUUACAGCACAAAGUACAACAAUACCAAUGCUCCAUAUACUUGUGGUUCCUCUUCCUCUCCAAGGCCACAUAAACCCAAUGUUCCAAUUCUCAAAACGCUUAGCAUCCAAAGGUUUAAGGGUGACACUUGUCACCGUCUCCUCUGACACUCAUCAUGAGCCCAUAGAAACCCAAUUGAGCUUGGUCAAGAUUGAGUCAAUUUAUGCUGCAUCUGAAGAAGCAGACAAGGUUAAUGCAGAGAACAAGAUGCAGUGGCUCCAAAACAUUUUGUCAAAAAGAUUACCAGAGCUGAUUUCAAAGCAAGAGAGCAUUGGGUACCCAAUUAGCUGCAUUGUCUAUGACUCAGCCAUGACAUGGGCUCUGGACAUGGCCAAAGGGCUAGGCAUUGCUGGGGCUUCAUUUUUCACUCACUCUUGUGCUGUUGGAACUGUGUACUGUAAUGUGCACCAAGGGGUGCUCAGUGUUCCUCUGAAAGAGGGUCCAAUUUUACUACCUGGGUUGCCACCACUUGAGCCUCAUGACCUGCCCUCUUUCAUCUCUGAUCCAGGCUCCUACCCCUCCUUUUUAAAGUUGGUGGUUGGCAGGUUUUCAAAUAUCACUGAUGCUGAUUGGAUCUUCUGGAACAGUUUUGAUUGCUUGGAACAAGAGGUGGUGAGCUGGAUGAGAACAAGAUGGCCAAUCAAGACAAUAGGGCCAACCCUUCCAUCAAUGUACCUAGACAAAAGGUUAGAAGAUGACAGAGACUAUGGCUUCAACCUUUUCACACCCAACAUUGACACUUGCAUCAAGUGGUUAGAAUCAAACGAUACAGGCACAGUGGUGUAUGUAUCGUUUGGAAGCAUGGCUAACCUAGGAGACGAGCAGAUGGAGGAGCUUGCAUUGGGCCUAAAAAGGAGCAAAACCAACUUCUUGUGGGUAGUCAGAGAAUCAGAAAUUCAAAAGCUUCCUAGCAAUUUCGAAGAGCAAACAUCAGAGAAGGGUUUGGUUGUGAAUUGGUGCCCUCAACUGCAAGUUUUGGCUCACAAGGCCGUUGGUUGCUUCAUGACACAUUGUGGGUGGAACUCUACACUUGAGGCAUUGAGCUCAGGGGUGCCAAUGGUGGCAAUUCCACAGUGGACUGACCAAUUGACAAAUGCUAAGUUUGUGGAAGAUGAAUGGAAAGUUGGAGUGAGGGUCAAGGUUGACCAAAUGGGAAUUGUCACUAAAGAAGAAAUAGAAAGAUGCAUAGCACAAGUCAUGGAAGGAGAGAGGGAAGGAGAUUAAAAGGAAUUCAAUGAGAUGGAGAGAAUUGGCUAAGGAGGCUGUGGCGGAAGGUGGAAGCUCUGAUAAGAACAUUGAGGAAUUUGUAGCAGCUCUCUUAUGUAAAUAAACUUUUAUGUUGUGAAACUAUUGAUUUGAACUACACAUUUAAAUAAGAAUCUACUAUUUGAUUCCA
Prunus avium (sweet cherry) is the source of this 1629-nucleotide RNA transcript. It is a transcript of the gene named mogroside I-E synthase-like, with no coding region annotated. NCBI's taxonomy places the organism in Eukaryota, Viridiplantae, Streptophyta, Magnoliopsida, Rosales, Rosaceae. The record is from RefSeq and is a predicted model, not a curated record.